Molecule: ribosomal RNA, 443 nt
Filed under: uncultured bacterium
Lineage: Bacteria
Description: partial 16S ribosomal RNA
Rfam family: Bacterial small subunit ribosomal RNA
Source: RNAcentral
CCUACGGGCGGCAGCAGUGGGGAAUAUUGGGCAAUGGGCGCAAGCCUGACCCAGCAACGCCGCGUGAAGGAAGAAGGCCCUCGGGUUGUAAACUUCUUUUAACAUGGACGAAGAAAGUGACGGUACCUGUUGAAUAAGCCACGGCUAACUACGUGCCAGCAGCCGCAGUAAUACGUAGGUGGCAAGCGUUAUCCGGAUUUACUGGGUGUAAAGGGCGUGUAGGCGGGAGAGCAAGUCAGACGUGAAAUUCCAGGGCUCAACCCUGGAACUGGGGUUGAAACUGGUCGUCUUGAGUUAUGGAGAGGCAGGCGGAAUUCGGGGUGUAGCGGUGAAAUGCGUAGAUAUACGGAGGAACAACAGUGGCGAAGGCGGCCUGCUGGACAUUAACUGACGCUGAGGCGCGAAAGCGUGGGGAGCAAACAGGAUUAGAUACCCUUGUAGUC